AUUUUUCUAAUACCAUCUCUACCUCCUCACUAUGAAUCCCCUCCCCAAGGGUAUUAGUAAUACCAAGGUAUUAGUAAUACCCUCCUUAUCUCUCAAAACAAACAAGGUAUUAGUAAUACCAAGGUAUUAGUUAGUCCCAAUGUAUUAAUAGUCCCAAGGCUAUCU
This is a non-coding RNA of Camellia sinensis, 165 nucleotides long. The record is from RefSeq and is a predicted model, not a curated record. NCBI's taxonomy places the organism in Eukaryota, Viridiplantae, Streptophyta, Magnoliopsida, Ericales, Theaceae.